UUUAUUGUUAGAAAUAACUUGAGAUUAAGGGCUUUAGUAUAUUUUAUAGAAGAGGCUACAAUUAUAUUUAUAGUUUAUUGUACUGUAAGGGGUAUAUGUAUUAUUAUUAUAAAAGUAUUUUUUAUUUAUUGUACCUUUUGCAUCAGGGUUUAUCAAUUUAUUUUUAUUAAUAAUAAAUUAUCCCGAAAUUAGAAGAGAUAAUUGAAAUUGUUAGUUUUUGUUUCAUAAUCAUUAAUAAAUUUUAAUUGGGAAAGAUAUUUUAUUCAGUUUUAAAUAUCUGGUUUUUUAAUAAAUGAAUUUAAUUCAGGAUUAUUUAAUUUAUAUGCUAAAUUAAAUUAGUUUAUAUUAUAAUAAUCUAAUAUAAUAGGGGAUAAGCUCUAUUUUAUAUUUAUAAUAUCUUGUAUUAUUAGUGAAGUUUUUAGGUUUAGUAACAUCCAUUAUUUAUUUCGUUAUAGUUAUCUUUACUUUAUUAUUUAUUUAAUAUAUAUAUUUAAAUUAUUAUUAAAAUUUUUAAUUAAAUUUUAUUUUUAAAGUAAUAAUGAUAGAAUUAGUAAUUUUGAAAAAUAGUAUAUAGGAACUCGGCAACAAUUACGCUUGCCUGUUUAUCAAAAACAUGUCUUGAGGUUAUAUAUAUUUCAAGUCGAGCCUGCUCAAUGAUGGUUAUUAAUAAUAACUUUAAAUAGCCGCAGUAUUUUGACUGUGCGAAGGUAGCAUAAUCAUUUGUCUUUUAAUUGUAGGCUUGUAUGAAUGGUUUGACAAAGUGUAAUCUUUCUUUAUACUUAUAUUUAUGAACUUAAUUUUUGAGUUAAAAAGCUUAAAUUAAUUUAUAGGACGAGAAGACCCUAUAGAAUUUUAUUUAAUGGAUAUUAUAUUAAUUUUUGGUUUAAGUUUAUUUUAAUUUAAUAUUUAUUAAAUUUUGUUGGGGCGACAGGGAAAUUGGGUUAACUUUCUUUUUUUAUUUUUUAUUGAUUGAUAUAUUAUUGAUCCUGAUUUAGGAUUAUAAGAUUAAAUUACCUUAGGGAUAACAGCGUAAUUUCUUUUAAGAGUUCAAAUCGAUAAAGGAGUUUGCGACCUCGAUGUUGGAUUAAAAUUAGUUUAGGGUGCAGUAGUUCUAAUACUAGGUCUGUUCGACCUUUAAAAUUUUACAUGAUCUGAGUUCAGACCGGCGUGAGCCAGGUUGGUUUCUAUCCUUAAUAAAUAAAUUACAUUUUAGUACGAAAGGACCAUAUGUUGAAUUAAAUUAAUUUUUAUUAUGAUUUAUAUUAAUUUAC
Molecule: ribosomal RNA, 1271 nt
Filed under: Poecilocoris druraei
Lineage: Eukaryota; Metazoa; Arthropoda; Insecta; Hemiptera; Scutelleridae
Description: 16S ribosomal RNA
Rfam family: Bacterial large subunit ribosomal RNA (bases 829-1190)
Source: RNAcentral